This 619-nucleotide long non-coding RNA is filed under the name Homo sapiens (human). RNAcentral describes it as "HSALNT0151876". The record is from RNAcentral. Lineage: Eukaryota; Metazoa; Chordata; Mammalia; Primates; Hominidae.
GCUUUCCCAAGAGUUUAUUCACAGAUUAUAGAUCAGAGCUUCAUGCCUGGCUUCUAGACGAAAUAAAAGGGAGACUGGGAAGUGGGCUACAGUGAGGGGCAUGCUGUGUUCACAGUUGGAGGCCAUUCUUGUUCCUCUCCAUGUCAUGGAAGGGGAGAAAGGGAAGUGUUUUCUCCCUGUGGCCCUGUUGGAACAUUGAGAAAAUCACUUGUCAACAUCAGAGUGUUCUGCAAGAAGCAGAGACUGGCACCUCCAUCCUCAGCUGAGUUCUUGCUGACUACUGGGAUCUGUAAGUCUCUGGUGCCAAGACAUGAAGUAGCCCGGCGAUGGAGUUCAUGGGGAGCUUGACCUGCAUCGCUUGGGGCUUGGUGGCAUUCAACACUAAGGCUACUGACAAUGCACUGUCUCAAGAUUGCUGAAGGUCACAGUGUUCUGGAGGAGGCUGUAUUAGGAGGAUCUGAAGGAUGAUAAAUAUGUGCCAGGGAAGAUGGGGGUAUCACUCCUCCCUUCCCAGUUCUACAAAAGCACAGGACAGUGCAGAAGAGAAACUCAGAACUGAACACACAAAUGGGGUAUCCAACUAGAAGAAGGAGUUGGGGUGUGUAUGCUCUGGUCAGGC